AUUUUUCUCCACCAUUUCUCUAGGAAGUGAGGAUGGAGGGAUGGAGGAAGGGGGGAUGGAUGUCUGCUCCUUCUCACAGUAACUCCAGCACUUGGCAGGUUGGGUGGCUACCCAUCUAGAAGAAGCUAGAUCUCAGAGAAAGUUGUGUAAUGUCCUGCUCAGUGAAGGCAUGCAUUCCUGGAAGAGCAGAGGUCCUGAGAAUGUCAAAAGCUCUUGAAAACAGGUCCAGUUUCCACUUUGCCAGACGCUAUGCCAAAGACUGCUCUGAGAGCUAAUUUUGGAUAAUGAGCAAUCAGCAAGGGCAGAACAUCCUUCUUUUCCCUCUCUGGAUUUUGCCAGCAAACAGCAGUAGGCUAGCAGCUCUACAUGGAAUCUCCUGGCCAGCAGCUCUCACCAGGAACAAGAGUCCAGGGCAGGAGCUUCAGAAAGACUACAGGAGCCAUGUGGACUUGAGAAACACUGCUCACAAUGAUGAAGCUGAGUCACAGAAAGGUUUCCAGAAUCUGGAUCACAACUGA
This 518-nucleotide long non-coding RNA is filed under the name Corvus moneduloides (New Caledonian crow). RNAcentral describes it as "lncRNA (ENSCMUG00000017411.1)". Lineage: Eukaryota; Metazoa; Chordata; Aves; Passeriformes; Corvidae. The record is from RNAcentral.